GUUGGGUGUGGUGGUGCACACCUGUAAUCCCAGCUACUCAGGAGGCUGAGACAGGAUAACUGCUUGAACCCGGGAGGCAGAGGUUGCAGUGAGCCAAGAUGAGGCCACUGCACUGCAUCCUGGGUGACAGAGCAAGAUUCUGUCUCAA
RNAcentral lists this non-coding RNA (148 nucleotides) under Nomascus leucogenys (northern white-cheeked gibbon). Lineage: Eukaryota; Metazoa; Chordata; Mammalia; Primates; Hylobatidae. The record is from Rfam by way of RNAcentral.